Molecule: ribosomal RNA, 369 nt
Filed under: uncultured Ochrophyta
Lineage: Eukaryota
Description: SSU rRNA
Rfam family: Eukaryotic small subunit ribosomal RNA
Source: RNAcentral
GCGGUAAUUCCAGCUCCAAUAGCGUAUAUAAAAGUUGCUGCAGUUAAAAAGCCCGUAGUUGGAUUUGUUGAGCGGCCAUCCGGAGCGGCGCAAGCUCUCAUUAGCAGGUUCCGCUAGUCCCGGCUUCGCGGCCGCUCCUUUCUCGGGAAGCGAGUGGCUGGCAUUAGGUUGUCGGCCGCUUCGCGCCCGUCUUUUACUGUGAAAAAAUUAGAGCGUUCAAAGCAGGCUUUGGCCGUAGGAUACAUUAGCAUGGAAUAAUGAGAUAAGGCCGCGGUGGUAUUUUCUGUUGGUUUGCACACACGCCGCAAUAAUGAAAAGGAACGGUGGGGGGUAUUCGUAUUCAACUGUCAGAGGUGAAAUUCUUGGAUU